This 100-nucleotide transfer RNA is filed under the name Lachnellula arida. It matches the Rfam family "tRNA". From Rfam's summary of the family: Transfer RNA (tRNA) molecules are approximately 80 nucleotides in length. The record is from Rfam by way of RNAcentral. Lineage: Eukaryota; Fungi; Ascomycota; Leotiomycetes; Helotiales; Lachnaceae.
GGACAGAUGGCCGAGCUGGUUAUGGCGCCAGGUUAAGGUGAUCCCUUAGCACAAUUUCCUGGUCACGAAAGUGGCGUGGGUUCGAGUCCCACUCUGUUCA